This 3452-nucleotide long non-coding RNA is filed under the name Homo sapiens (human). RNAcentral describes it as "HSALNT0231623". Lineage: Eukaryota; Metazoa; Chordata; Mammalia; Primates; Hominidae. The record is from RNAcentral.
AAGAAAUAAGAGCUCCUGAGACCCUGCUGGAUACAAAUGCCCUGUACGACCUAAGGGCCUCCACAGCAGGAACAAAAGGAAUUUUGUCUGAGAUUUUAGCAGAAAAGUAAUUUUUGAAAUCUAUUCUUGGAUUUAGACGUUUAUUGGAUUUCAAAGCUUCUUGCUGCCCAGGAGCUUGUGAAUACGGUCAAAGGUCCAUGAAAUUUCCAAAGUGGUACCACAGCAGAUGAACCUGAAUGCAAACUGGAGGGACCAACAGAGUCCAGCCUAUAGACAUAAAUCCUUAACUACACCUAGAUCUCACUGUCUUUUCCAAUGGUCAAAAGAGGGGCUCUUGAAAUGGCUCCAUUGUUUUAUAGAAACAAGGUCUUCCUAAGAAGUCUUUUUCUCCUAUCUUUUUCUUACCCAAAAUAAAGGAAUGGCCCAAAACCUCAAGCCAAGCUUACCAGCUAUAAACAACUUGGUGGUCAGCAGCCAAAAGAAGAGUGGACAUGCCAUGGUCAUGUGGCACGUACCCUAUACAAGCUUCACAGAGAAGAAUGGAAGCACUUGAUUGUAAGACAGAGGGUGAGAUGUGAGAGGAAUAUUAACCUUCACUUUCCACAGGCAUUUUUUUCUGCAAAUGGCACCAGCUUUUGGACUUAAAAUUUUAUUCCAAAUACUAUUUAGAUGCAUCAGGGCCCUCAAAAUAUGGAUUUCAAGUUGGAGACAUCAAAGUGCAUUAUUUACUAAAACCACUGCAGCUUUUUUCCCCUCUCCUUUCACAAGAUGCUAUUGUAAAUUCAGGCUGCUUUAAUCUCUGUGAUUAAAAAAAAAAAGGAAGAAAGAAAAAAAAAGUGCUGCUUGAAGAGGAACUGAACUCACAAUCUGGGAGCUAGAAAGUAAAUAUUACCCAGAGAGUACCUCACUUUAAUUACUGGCCUGAACAUUGGUUUCAAUUUACAUGUAUUUUAAUUAGCCACAGAAGGGUUCACCUAUUACUCUCUGAAUACAAAACUUAAAAAGCAAACAGAAAAUAGGGAAAGAAAGGCUUAUUUAAGGGCCUCCAAGGAUUAAUCUUUGCAUUCUUCUCAUUUUUUCCCCGAAUUUGGGGAUAAAAUUUGUCGCAGGGAAUUUGAUCUUAGGGAAACAUUGAGUUUGGUUUGUGAACACAAGCUACUUCUGAACACUAUUUUAGCAAACAGAAUUUUAGAAGCAUAAGGCUCUAGCAGAGGGCUAUACAGAAUUUUGCAUAAACUAAAUAACAACCGUUUCCUCCUGAAAUGCAGGAAAUCAAGCUGCACGGGUAUGUUUGCUGAUUGGGUGAGUGAAUGAGUGAGUCAAUCAGUGAAAACUCCAGGCUCCUUUACUCUUCCUACCUUUCUUUAACAUCCUUAAACUUUUAUUUGAAUUUUUUAAAGUUUGUAAAUUGUUUUGCUUGUCCAUCUUGGACUGUCAGUUUCUGCCACCAAAAAAAAAAAGGAGUAAAAUUAAUUUUAAUUGACUUUAAUUUCAAAAAUGUGUCACACCAGAUUUCUAAAAAGUUGCAUUCUCAAAACAACUAGGCAUUAACAACUAGGCUUCAAGAAGCCUUAGAAUAUCUGUAACUAGAGAAAGAUGUGUGGCUGACUGAUUUACCAAGGACUAACAAUGACACUUGGGGAUAAAGUAUUUCUGGAUUAUGAAGACAUAACCUUUUAUUAAGUCUUGAGCCCCUUACUCCAACUCCACCAACCAGCCAACAGUUAUUCAAGCAGGUCCAACUGAGUUUCUGCACUGGGCGAGGAACUCUGUUAAAUGCUUUGGGGGAUAAAAAGAGGCCCAGUGGUGUGGUGGCUCACACCUGUAAUCCCAGCACUUUGGGAGGCCAAGGCAGGUGGAUCACUUGAGCCCAGGAGUUCAACACCAGCCUGGGCAACAUGGCAGAACCCCAUCUCCACAAAAAGUACAAAAAUUAGCCAGGCAUCGUGGUACAUGCCUGAAGGAGCUACUAGGGAGGCUCAGGUGGGAGGAUCACUUGAGCCCACGAGGUCAAGGUUGCAGUGAGCUGUGAACGUGCCAUUGCACUCCAGCCUGGGUGACAGAGCAAGACCCUGUCUCCAAAAAAAAAAAAAAAAAAGAGGUUGAGUACAUGGUUGUUAAGAAGUUAAGAAGUUUGUUAAGGGAGGUAGGACCUCUACGGACCUGUGGCAAGCACUUGUUCCAAGUUCUAAGGCACAGGAGACCACUUCUAAGUCGGGGGACAAUUAUGGGCUCUGCAGAAACGAUAAUAGUCAAUCUGUGAGGACUGAGCAAGAAUCAAUGGAGAGGCAUAAUACAUGCACUGUCCCCAAGCCAAAAGCCUGGUAUAUAUUUAGAAUAAUCAGUACAGGACUAGUUUUGCCGAGUGUCUGCUGUGGCCAGAGUGUGGAACAGAAAGGGGAUCUUGCAGGUCAAAGCCGUGUACCCAAGAAUGGAUAAUAUGGUCAGCCUGUGAUCUCAGAAUCUGUGUGGGAGUGAGAGGAGAAAAGGAAAGGAGUGACAAUGGCCUGUAAUGAGAGUUCAAAAGGAGACUUCUAUAGCCUAAGAUAGAGAUAAUGUCACUCUAAGUGUCUCUGGCAGGAGCCAAGAAAGAGAAAGAAGAAACAUAGCCAAUUAUUAAGCUGUUGGGCUCUAGAGCUUACCCAGCCUUGCCCUAUUGGCCUGGAAUGAGUUUACUGGGUGCUCCGUAAACUGCUACUGCAGUGGCUCUCACCCAGUAGCAUCUUAAAGGUGCUGCUCUGCUUCUGAUAGUUAUGCCAACAAUGACAUAGUAGAAGGCACUGGCUGCUGCUUCUCAGAUGGCCACAACCCCAAGACAGCAUGUUAGGAACCACUUACCUAUCAAUCCCAAAGUCCUUAGGUCUUCAGCAAAGCUUGGACCACUUGGCAAAGUCUUCUGUCUCCAGAGGAAUGAUGGGAAAACUAUGGGACAAAAGUCAGGAGAGUGGUGCUGGCUGAUCCUGGCCUGGACAUUGACUCCCUGGGGACUUUGGUGCUCUCUCGUGCUCUCUCUGUCUCCAGUGAUAAGCUGACCAGAUGCCUUGAAUUAAGUACAGUAUGCAGCAAUGCCAGCCCUGGACUUUUCCCCAACCUAUCACCCAACCCACUUACCUGGAGCCAAGGGUCACCAACAUCUCUAAUAGAAUCCAACUGUGGAAUAGAAAAACUAUUUCGUCUAAGAAGUGGAUCCUAGCUGUCAAAUAAAAAAUCGCUGUUGAAUGCUGUAAAGUACAUUUUUACACCCAUGUACAAUUUAGAGCUUAGGAACUCAUGGAAAAAAAUAGAGUUAACACGGAUAAAGGGAUUUUAAAAGGCGAGAGAGGGAAGAGUUUCUUAAGGAGUCUCCAAUGACAAAAAUGUGUUCAUUUUCUGAGACCUCCAGAAUGAAUUACUAAGGUAUCCUCAAACAAAAGUGGUUUUGCUAUUCAGAAAUUCAUAUGUUCUAAAUAGAG